GACAGAGGUCCCGAGCGUUAGGCGGAAUCACUGGGCUUAAAGCGUGUGUAGGCGGCGGCCUAAGUACCUUGUGAAAUCCCACGGCUCACCCGUGGAACUGCUCGGUAUACUGGGUCGCUUGAGCCACUUAGGGGCUACCGGAACAAAUGGUGGAGCGGUGAAAUGCGUAGAUAUCACUUGGAACGCCAAUGGUGAAAACAGGUAGCUGGGAGUGUGCUGACGCUGAGACACGAAAGCCAGGGGAGCGAACGGG
This 253-nucleotide ribosomal RNA is filed under the name uncultured bacterium. RNAcentral describes it as "partial 16S ribosomal RNA". It matches the Rfam family "Bacterial small subunit ribosomal RNA", at positions 524 to 776 of the family's 1533-position model. The record is from RNAcentral.